Oreochromis aureus is the source of this 564-nucleotide long non-coding RNA. RefSeq lists it as uncharacterized. NCBI's taxonomy places the organism in Eukaryota, Metazoa, Chordata, Actinopteri, Cichliformes, Cichlidae. The transcript is spliced from 4 exons. The record is from RefSeq and is a predicted model, not a curated record.
GCUGCUGUGCAACCACUGCAGUGUAUAAAGGUGUCACAUGUCUGGGAGCUAAUUGGAAUUGAUCUAACUGGACCUCUUCCAAAACAGUCUAGUGGCUUCCAGUACAUUCUGACUGCAACAGACCAUUUUUCAAAAUGAGUUGAGGCUUUUCCGUUAAAAAGCAAAAGUGCUGCUGAGGUAGCUCAUCAGUUGUGCUCAAUCGUGUAUAGACAUGGCUGCCCAAAAAGAAUUUUAUCUGACCAAGGAAGAGAAUUUGUUAACGAGCUCAACUCAAGACUUUGCAGCUUAAUGAAAAUAGAUACGCUGCUGUGACACUCCUAUCACCCACAGACAAAUGGCCUCGACGAAAAGACAAAUGACAACAUAAAAAGAGCCCUGAGAAAAUUAGUCAACAGUCAACAGAAUGAGUGGGAUGUGUAUCUGGAUGCUACACUGUUAUCUUUGAGCUCUAAGGUCCACACCACAACCAAAUACACCCCAUUCCAUUUAAUGUAUGGGAGAGAAGCUACGUGUCCUUCUGAAGUUCCUGUUGAAGUCCCGGUAAGUGUUUUUAAGGAAUUCUGU